RNAcentral lists this ribosomal RNA (443 nucleotides) under uncultured bacterium. RNAcentral's name for it is "bacterial SSU rRNA". It matches the Rfam family "Bacterial small subunit ribosomal RNA", at positions 958 to 1398 of the family's 1533-position model. The record is from RNAcentral.
AACGCGAAGAACCUUACCUGCCCUUGACAUCCGUGGAAUCCUGCAGAGAUGCGGGAGUGCCGCAAGGAACCACGAGACAGGUGCUGCAUGGCUGUCGUCAGCUCGUGUUGUGAGAUGUUGGGUUAAGUCCCGUAACGAGCGCAACCCCUGUUCCCAGUUACCAGCGCGUUAUGGCGGGGACGUCUGGGGAGGACUGCCGGUGAUGAACCGGAGGAAGGCGGGGACGACGUCAAGUCAUCAUGGCCUUUAUGGGCAGGGCUACACACGUGCUACAAUGGGGCGUACAGAGGGUAGCCAACCCGCGAGGGGGAGCCAAUCCCAGAAAGCGUCUCUUAGUCCGGACUGGAGUCUGCAACUCGACUCCACGAAGUCGGAAUCGCUAGUAAUCGCGAAUCAGAAUGUCGCGGUGAAUACGUUCCCGGGCCUUGUACACACCGGUACUA